This 3807-nucleotide ribosomal RNA is filed under the name Triticum aestivum (bread wheat). RNAcentral describes it as "partial small subunit ribosomal RNA". Lineage: Eukaryota; Viridiplantae; Streptophyta; Magnoliopsida; Poales; Poaceae. The record is from RNAcentral.
AUGGAGGCGACGGUGCUGAGCGUGGGCAAGUCUGUGGUGAACGGAGCUGUUAGCUAUGCCCAAUCUGCCGUUGCAGAGGAGGUGGCGCUGCAGCUGGGAGUGCAGCGCGACCAGGCCUUCAUCAGGGACGAGCUUGAGAUGAUGCAGUCGUUCCUGAUGGUUGCUCACGACGACCGAGACGACAACAAGGUGGUCAAGACCUGGGUGAAGCAGGUCCGCGACCUGGGCUACGAUGUGGAGGACUGCCUCCAGGACUUCGCCGUUCGCCUCGAGAAGCCGUCCUAUUGGUGGCACAUCCUGAGGACGCUGCUUGACCGGCGUCAUGUGGCCGUGGAGAUGAAGGAUCUCCGAGCCAAGGUCGAGGAUGUCAGCAAGAGGAACCUGCGCUAUCACCUCAUCAGGGGCCCUGACGCUGACUCAAAGUCCAUGGCUGCUGCCGCCAAGCAGUACUCUGCAGUCAGCAAAGCCAGUGCUACAAUGUUUGGUGUCAACGAAGCGAGGCGUGCCAUGAAGCUGAGGGUAGAUCUGGCCCAACUCAUCGACCAGGAGCAGGGGGAGGAUCUUAGAGUGAUUUCAGUGUGGGGAACAUGUGGCGUUCUCGGGCAGGCAUCCAUGAUAAGGAAGGUGUAUGACGAUUCGGGCACGUUUGAAUGCCGUGCCUGGAUCAAGCUUAUGCAUCCUUUCGACCCGAUCGUGUUCAUGCAAAGCAUUAUGCGGCAGUUCUAUGGAUAUUCUUUUCCAGAAUUAGCAGCUGAGGGACGAAGUUGUCGAGAAUUAGGGACUAAAGUUCUCAAGAAGAUGCUGAUGAUGAAGGAAGAAGAAUUGAUUGAUGAGUUCAAUGAGCAUGUGAAUAACAAGAGUUAUCUGAUUGUUCUUAACGAUCUGUGUAGCAUAGAAGAUUGGGACUGGAUUAAAACUUACCUUCCAGGCAACCGUAAUGGGAACCGGAUCAUUGUGGCCACACAGCAAGUUGAAGUUGCAAGCUUAUGCAUCGGCCAGGAAUGCCGAGUCUCAGAGCUUAAGCAAUUAUCCUCUGAUCAGACUCUCUAUGUUUUCUACCACAAGAGACCUCAAGGUGGAGCAAAUUCAAUGGAGCCAGAGUCAAGCUCAAAUGCAGCAGCCAUUGCCACUACUAAUAGAGCAAUCUCUUCAGUGCCCAUCUGUGAGAUACCGGCUGGUGAUCAAGCUAAAGAUACCGCAAGUGGACAGAAUGCAGUCCGAAGGAGCCUCAGUCGCAUCCUGUCGAUGACGGCUGCUCUAGAGGGAUCUGAAGUUGUUGGGAGGGAGAAAGAAAAAUCUCGCAUCCUCCCACUAAUUGUGGAUUCAGUUAACAAAGAACUUCAGGUUAUCUCUGUUUGGGGAAUGGGUGGUCUCGGGAAGACUGCUCUUGUCAAAGAUAUCUAUGAAGGUCAAGAACUCAGUGGCACAUUUAAGAAACGUGCUUGCGUCACAAUCAUGAGGCCUUUCAAUAUCGAGGAGCUCCUUAGGAGUUUAAUUAUGCAACUAAUGGUGUCAGAAACUUCUGACGAGAAUGACACAGCGAAGAAAACAAUGUCGCUGUCAGUUCAAGAGCUGAAGGAUCAGCUGGGCCGUCUUCCUGAAGAAAAGAGGUGGUUGAUUGUUCUCGACGAUUUGUCAUCUACCACUGAAUGGGACACGAUAUUGGAAAAUUUACCUCAAACAAAGAAUGCAAGUCGAAUCAUAGUCACCACAAGAGAAGAAACUAUUGCCCGUCAUUGUUCACAGCAGAAACAAGAAAAUGUAUACAACCUCAAAGGUCUUACUAAGGAGCAUGCACUUCUUGUCUUCACAAAAAAGGUAUUCAAGGAAAAUGAAUGUUGGCAUCGGCUGUAUCCUGAGUUGGUUGAACAAGUCAGACAAAUCUUGAAGAAGUGCAAUGGUCUUCCUCUUGCAAUAGUCGCCAUAGGUGGCUUCUUGGCAAACCAACCAAAAACUGCCAAGGAGUGGAGAAAACUGAAUGAGAAUCUUAGUAGUGAGUUGGAGAUGAAUCCAGAGCUUGACACCAUAAGAACAGUCCUUCUCAGAAGCUAUGAUGGUUUACCCUAUCAUCUCAAGGCUUGUUUCUUGUAUCUUCCAAUCUUUCCUGAAGACUACAAGAUUAGGCUAACACGUUUGGUGCGGAGGUGGAUCGCAGAGGGCUACUCAGGAGCGGUGCGCGGCAGGUCUUCCUAUGAAAUAGCAGAGAGCUACUUCAUGGACCUCAUAAGCAGGAGCAUGAUCCUGCCAUCCCGGCAAUCACGUCAUAGUAGAAAAGAAAUUGAUUCUUGCCAACUCCAUGAUAUUAUUCGUGAAAUUGGCAUCUCAAAGUCAAUGGAGGAAAAUCUUGUUUUCAGAUUGGAGGAAGGUUGCAACUUAAGUAGCCAAGGCACAAUACGUCACCUCUCUGUAAGCAACGACUGGAAGGGAGACCAGAGUGAAUUUGAGAGUACAGUUGAUCUGUCUCGUGUCAGAUCCAUAACAAUUUUUGGGGAGUGGAAGCCAUUCUUCAUUUCUGACAAGAUGAAGUUGCUGCGGGUGCUGGACUUGGAAGACACUUCAGGUCUGGUUGAUCAUCAUCUCAAGCAUAUUGGGAAGCUUUUCCACUUGAGAUACCUUUCCCUGAGAGGAUGUCAUGGAAUUUAUCACCUGCCAGGUUCCUUGGGUAACCUGAGGCAGCUCCAGACACUAGAUGUCACAGGUACAAACAUAAUCAAGCUGCCAAAGACCAUCAUCAAGCUCAGGAAGCUACAGCACGUUCGUGCGAGGGGUGUCGGGAGCAACGAUGAAUAUGUCUGUGAAGAGUAUUCAGAUAAACUCCCGAAGCUGAUGAGGAGCAAGCAAUGCAUCCUGACCUGCGCCUCGGCGGUGUUCUGCGUGGCAUGCUGCGCGCCACAGGUUCUGAAGGAGACCAUGGGCAUGGACGGGGAUACCAACAGGCGUGACGUCUGCACCACGUGCUGCUGCUCGUAUCUGCCAAUGCUGGCGACACGCCGGAGCCCACGUGGUGUUGUGGUGCCCAGAGGGAUCCACAGGCUCAGAGCCCUGCACACGUUGGGUGUGGUGAACAUCUCAAGGAGGAAGGCCACCCUGCGAGAGGUAGCUAGUCUCACCGGGCUGCGCAAGUUGGGAGUGACUGGCGUGGACGAGAGCAACGGCGGAGAGCUAUGUUCAGCACUGGCUAACCUCAGCAGCCUAGAGACGCUGCUGGUGCAGUCGGAGGGUAAGCCGGGUUUAUCUGGCUGCUUGGAUGGCCUCUCCUCACCUCCGGAAAACCUAGGGAGUCUGAAGCUGUAUGGCAACCUGGUCGAAUUGCCGGCAUGGAUCAACGGUGGGCUGAAAAAUCUGGCCAAGCUCAAGCUGCGGAGUUCCAGGAUAGAGGACCAUGAUGCGGCAAUAAAAGUCCUUGGGCGCCUACCGAACCUUGCCAUCCUGCGUCUGCGGAAAGAGUCACUUGGGGGCGAAGAGGUCCAUCUCCGUUUUCGUCAGGGUGCAUCAUUCCCGAGCCUGAUGGUGCUAGAGCUGAGUCUCCCAGGUAAGCUCAAAUCGGUGGAGUUUGAAAAGGGAGCCACCCCUAAGCUUGAGCUGCUGCAGUAUUACGAUCAGCCUGAAGAAGGCGCCGUUUCAGAAAAAACCGAUGACAAUCAGUUUGAAGAAGACCCCAGAGUUGGGUUGUUUUCUGGGCUAGCAUUUCUGGGAAGCCUCAAGGAAGUUCUGCUCGAGGGUCACAACUACAAAGCCGACUUAGUGCAAAACUUGCGCUUGCAGCUUCAUUCAAAUCCGAAGCGACCUGUUCUCAAGAUGGACUGA